ACCUUUUAAAAAUAUUGUCAUGAAUUGGUAGCCCUAGUUUUCAGAUGGGGACAAAAAAUGUUUAGAAUUCUAUGUGCAUGCAUUACUCAAGCUGCAGGAGUAUGUGGGAAGCAGAGCACUUCAAUUUCACCAAAACACCUCUUAUACUGGAGUGCUGGUUCUUCCUGGUUAGCACAGAGAGCUGAACUGUGUGUGCCAGGUGAUCUGCAGUGGAGAACAGCAUCAUUAUUAAAAGGCUUAGACAUUCCAUGCCAUUUGUGCUUCUGCGACAUAUGUAGUACAGCAAAGGAGAGAUUUGGCUGUGAGGGAAAAGUCAUCAAGGAGUCCUUGCAUCCAUUAUAAUCUUCAUCUGGGCUGAUAAAUGUGAUCAGUCGACCAGAGGGAACAGGUAAGCCUUGGCUGUCACAAGUACCUUAGAUCUGUGAUAUUUUCCACUGAGAAGAGUUAAAAGGAUGUCCCUUGCUGUCAAAGGGUAUCCAAGGGAAGGAUAAGCUCUUUUCCAGAGUUACCAAGGAAAGAGAGAAGGUGUGGGUGAGGCAGAUCACAGACUGCUUGUGUCAUAAGUAGCUAUGCUGUGUCAAUUUCUUGCUGCUGGGGACAUUAUUUAGAUGAACACCAGGUACAGGUGACAACUACAUUUUUCUUUGAAGUCCCUGGGCUGGAUUACAAGCUUGUGGGUGUGAUUUCAUGCUGGAAGAAUUGCAUAGGUGAGGUGAGCAUUGCCUUGGGAGUGCCACUGCAAAAUUGUCCUGAGUCCCCCUUCCAGCCUGGUAUUCUAUGAUUAUAUGAUUGCUCAGUAAAACUUUUCUGCUGCUUCUUUUAGGACUUGUGUUUUCACUUUUAUAUUGUCUUUCAAAAAAAUAGAAAUUGGAAAAAAUCUAUGGAUUCAAAUAAUUAGAGUCAAACUGUGUCCACAGCUCCCCUUUGCUGAUUAUGCACCAUCAUUAAGGUGAUUGGUGAUAAAAUCAUCUGACUCUUAAAGAAGUCUUGAACCUUUACAGUGGCAUGUUAAAAGCUUUCAUGUUGGUCUAGACUUCUUUAGUUUCUUGUUUCCUCUCUGCAGCUGCCAUGGGCAUCUCCAGUCUGAGCACAUUUCCCCCCUCCUCUUUGAAGUAAAUAGACAUUUUCCAGUUAAUAUUUAUGAUAACAUACCUGUGGAGUGGGAAAAAACUCCACCUUCUAGAUGUGAUAUUCUGACCUAAAGGUGAAUUAUGAUAUUUCACUUUGAGAUUUUUGGAGAAGUGGUAUUCAGCAUAUUAAUAAUGAUGCUAACUCUUAUACUGCUAGGGUUGAAUCUGGAUUGUCCAGUUCCAG
Molecule: long non-coding RNA, 1314 nt
Filed under: Cyanistes caeruleus (blue tit)
Lineage: Eukaryota; Metazoa; Chordata; Aves; Passeriformes; Paridae
Description: lncRNA (ENSCCEG00000003469.1)
Source: RNAcentral